AUGAUGGGCUCCUCGGGCUCCGGCAAUGGCUCCCGCCACCUCGACCCGGGCCGCGUCCACGAGCUCGUCAUGCGCCGAAAGCCGUACGACCUCCUCCACUACCUGAAUUCCGUGCCCGGGGCGUCCGAGGACCCGCACUGCCGCCAGAUCAAAUACGUCGCGGAGACUCUCCUGCUGCUCAUGCGAAGAGGUUUGGUUCCCGGAGACAAGACGCUGAUCGUGGAUUGGGCCCGAAACGCAUGGCUGAACGCGACACAAAGCAGACUUUUUUCAUCCCAGAUGGUUGGUGGUGGUCCAUCCAAUUUUACUUCAGAUGCAGGUUAUAAUAUGCAUCCACACAAUUCAAGUUCAUAUUCUGGAAGGAUGUUGACCAAUGAACCUGUCAGUAAUGACUUCAGACAUGCUGCAAUGCAUAAUCAAUUAUCUGCUUCUAACCCAAGGAAUCAUACUGCAACAUUUCCUCCACAGCAAGCAAACUCAACUGAUGUGAUGCUUGAUGGAACCCCUGCUUUUAACUCCGGAACUCAUGCUUCAGCAUAUGUUCCAUUGCGGAAUAAUUCUAAGCUUGGUCAUGAUAUGCACCCACACAAUUCAAGUUCAUAUUCUGGAAGGAUGUCGACCAACGAACCUGGGCUCAGAGAUACUGCAACGCAUAAUCAAUUAUCUGCUUCUUACUCACGGAAUCAUACUGCAACAUUUCCUCAACUGCAAUUAAACUCGAAUGAUGUGAUGCUUGAUGAAACAUCUGCCUUUAACCCUGGAACUCAUGCUUCAGCAUAUGUUCCAUCAGGGGGUUAUUAUACACUUGGUCAUAAGAUGCACCCACAAAAUUCAAAUUCAAAUUCUGGAAGGAUGUUGACUAACAAACCUGGUAGUAAUGGGCUCAGAGAUACUGCAACGCAUAAUCAAUUAUCUGCUUCUUACUCACGGAAUCAUACUGCAACAUUUCCUCAACUGCAAUUAAACUCGAAUGAUGUAAUGCUUGAUGAAACAUCUACCUUUAACCCUGGAACUCAUGCUUCAGAAUAUGUUCCAUCACGGGGUUAUUAUACACUUGGUCAUAAUAAUUCAAGUUCAUAUUCUGGAAGGAUGUUGACCAACGAACCUUGUAGUAAUGAGGUCAGAGAUGCUGCAAUGCAUAAUCAGUUAUCUGCUUCUAACUCAAGGAAUUAUACUGCAACAUUUCCUCCACUGCAGGCAAACUCAAAUGAUGUGCCGCUUGAUGAAACAUCUGGUUUUAACUCCGGAACUCAUGCUUCAGCAUAUGUUCCAUUGCGGGAUAAUCCUACACUUGCACAAGCAUUCAAUGAACUCUUGGAUAAUAUUUUUUCGCCACAAAAGCAUGGUACACGGACGGUCGGACCACUAUGGCCGUGCCACCCUGGGUCAGAGCAGAAUAGAAAAGUGCUGCCCACAGUAGAUAUCAAAGGAAAGAGACCUGCAUCGAUGAAGGUGACGACGCUGAGGUUGAACGUUGCUUCUUUGGUUGCAGAGGAUGGAAUUAAUAGUGCUGCAGGGGUGUUGAUUAGGGAUGGCAGCACGGCACAAUUCAUCAGUGCAUCAUGUUUUAGUCCGAUACUACGCAGAGAGCCAGCUCUUCUUCUUGCAGCUGCUUGUUGCAAAGGGAUCAAAAUCGCUCUGUCCUAUCAACCAGCUAGUAUCACGCUGGAGUCCCAUCUGCUCCCUCUGCUCAACCCGCUAUACGCCUCUUCGGAUCAACCGCCAGAUGUAGUACAGCUGAAAGAAUUCCUGAGCCAGGGAUACCCACAUUUCGUAGUCCGGGACAUUCCAGAAGAAUCCAAUCGUGCUGCUUGUGAGUUGGCUCUCAAUGUUUUGCACCUACGGGAGUCCUAUAUGUUCUUCAAUGAUCCGCCAGAAUGGCUUGUCCCUUACUUAGAUCAGUGA
RNAcentral lists this ribosomal RNA (1905 nucleotides) under Triticum aestivum (bread wheat). RNAcentral describes it as "partial small subunit ribosomal RNA". Lineage: Eukaryota; Viridiplantae; Streptophyta; Magnoliopsida; Poales; Poaceae. The record is from RNAcentral.